GGGCCACUCAUCGAGCACAUGUUAGCGCAGUGCGUCGAGUACAUCGAACGAGCGAGCACUCACGUUUUGGACCUCGUCACAUAAAGUACUAUUUUAUUGAUUCUACAGGUUUGAAGUAAUUGGGGACAGGCUCCCCUUUGCGUUAACUUAGGCUAGAAGAGCAUGAACUACAUCGGCAAGUUCAUAUCCAACUUCAAGGAUUUCUACAAUGAGAUCAACGCUGCUACUUUAACAGGCGCCAUCGAUGUAGUGGUGGUGCGGCAAGAAGAUGGCACCUUCCUCAGCUCCCCGUUCCACGUCCGCUUCGGCAAAAUGGGCGUACUUAGGAGCCGGGAAAAAGUGGUUGAUAUUGAGAUUAAUGGAGAACCGGUAGAUAUACAUAUGAAGUUGGGGGAGACCGGGGAAGCAUUUUUUGUGGAAGAAUUAGAAGAUGGGGUGGAGAUCAGCCCACUGCUUGGAACCUCCCCUCUACCACCCUCAGUUUUUCAAGAAAAACUCGAAUUAGCCAAGGCUGAAGAAGAAGAAUCAAAAUUGCAAGAUUCUGGGGUGGAUGAAUCUAUUUCCUCUUCUUGUAUGUUACCAAAGAGCAAUGAUACUUCAAAUGAAACAAUUGUUCCUGGAAAUCAAGAUUUGUCAGAAUCUACCUUGCUGUCAGAUACACUUGAGAGUGAAGAAGUUACCACUCCCCUGUCAGUUGAUGAUAAACCUAAGAUUGGAAACAGUGAAAUAGGAGUAAUUCAGAGAGUGAGAAAGCAGAACAGGGGGGAACAAAGGGACUGCCAAACUCAAACUGAGAGUCCUACCAUACUUGGUCCCGUGCUUAGGAAGGGCGAUGGCUUGACAAAAGGAUCUUCUACAAGGUCACUAAAUACAGAGAUAUCAAGUUUCAAGCGCAAUGCAUUAGUAGAGGGUCAAGGAAGUAAAACAGAUGGUGAAGAAACUGUCAAGGUGAGCAAGAGUAAUCGUCGUAAACGUAAGAAGCGCUGCAAUGGCAAGAAACAGCGACCAAAGAGUUCAGGGAGCCAGUCGAGUGAUACUUCAACUACAAGUGAAGUAGCGGAUCUUACAGCCGUCUUGCCUCGAGGGACUGUACCUCGAGUUACAAACCAGGAGGGCAUUUUUGUAAUGGAUGAUAUAGAGUCAACUGAUAAGUCUGGUCCAAGCUCGUCUUCUCCCACCACUAACAUGGCGCAGUCCACUUCAUUGCCGUUGCUGCGUGAAAAAUCCCAGGAUGAAGUAGUAGUCGAGUGGAGCGGGUCUCUCUCGCGAUCAAUGGGUCCAGAUUUCCAUCCCUUCAGUGACACGGACCUUAGUCCUCCCCCAAGCCCUUCCAACUCAAGACCACCAACUCCAAUCAAAUCUGACACAGAGUAUGAGGUAGAAAGACAACGAGAAGAUUUUGCUGAUUGUUCAUCUCAGACAGAUGAAAAUAAGUGGUGCUGGAUGUGGGGAGAAUUGCCAACACCACCUCCUAAGACGCCAACACGGAUAACCAACUCUAAGUCGGAUUCUUCUGCUGGAAAGGUAGAAAAUGAUAAAAUGGGCAAGACCAUUAAAGAUGAAGAUGAUGAGCGAUCUGUGUUGAGCAGUAUGUUUAGCUUCAUGCGGGCCACUAAGAAGGCACGGCACAACCCAGAGAGUGAGGGCAUUUACCUUGAUGAUCUCAACUUGGAAGAACUUGACCCUGAGGUGGCUGCCUUGUAUUUUCCUCGUAACUUCAAAGUUCCAGAGAAGCGGGGCUACAACAGCUACUCCACUGGUGCUCCCAAGGAUGAGGAUGCAGAGUCUGGUAAUGGGCCUUCAUUACCCCAGUCACCUCAUAGUGUGGAAGGAGCCAUUGGUGGCCCCAAGAUAUGCAGUGACUCAGACUUUGAAGACUCAAGGCAUCCCAUUUUUGAUUAUAAGGGCUACCAUGAUAUCGCCUUCUCACUGUGUGGACGUCUUCAUGAGUAUGAGGGGAACUUUCCUGAGAGCCUCUUUCUACAGAGUCUUGUAACCUAUGAUGAUUUUUGUGAGAAUCCACAAAUUCUAGACAAUCCUGACCUAGUAGUGAGGUUUGGUGGAAAGUACCUCAACUGGAAUGCGGCUUCUCCUCAGAUCCUCUCCCUGGUCCUGUUCCAGCGAUCAGUCCCACAGAAAUUAGCAGAUGAACUUGGCAAGGAACACAUGCCCAAGAAGGAAACCAGAAAACGUUCAGAAUCAAAGGGUUACUCUUGGUUUUCAUCUUGGAGGCGUAAUAACCAGACUGAAGACUUAGAAAACAACAAGGAUGCCAAGAACGAUUCUGAGAAAAACGUAACCUCUGACGGUACUAUGGAGACUACCCAACUAUGUAUCCAGAAUCUUCUUCUCCCAAGAUUUUGCAAUCUUGAGCUCCACCAAGGAACUCCAACCUCAGGAUCAGAAGGAAUCACCAAUAUCUCUGAUUCCAACGUUAUUGAAGUGACUGCAGCCGAGACACAAACCAGUUUACCCGGAACUCCUAGGAAGAAGGGAGUUCACAGUCACAAACCAGGAACAGAUUCGUCAGAGUCCGAGGACCUAGAAGAUGGAAAGGAGAGAAAAUUCCACGGAGAACGUUUCAAGAAGAGUUUAAGGCUGUCCUCUGACCAGAUUACCCAACUAAACCUUCGGGAGGGUAGCAACGAGGCACUCUUCUCGGUAACAACAGCUUACCAAGGAACCACUCGCUGCAAGUGUCACAUCUUCUUGUGGAAUUUCAAGGAUAAGAUUGUUGUGUCAGAUAUUGAUGGCACCAUCACCAAGUCAGAUGUGUUGGGUCAUCUUUUACCAAUCCUGGGUAAAGAUUGGGCCCAAAGUGGUGUUGCUCAACUCUUCACAAAGAUUAAGAACAAUGGUUAUCACUUCCUCUACCUCUCAGCCAGGGCUAUAGGUCAAGCACGCAUUACCCGUGAUUAUCUACGAUCCAUCAAACAGGGUGAUCUCUCAUUACCUGACGGUCCUCUUCUUUUGAACCCAACCUCAUUAGUUCAAGCCUUCCACCGUGAAGUCAUUGAGAAGAAGCCAGAAGAAUUUAAGAAAUCAUGUUUGAGAGAUAUUCAGGCUCUUUAUCCCUCAGAUAAAAAUCCAUUUUAUUCUGGAUAUGGAAACAAAAUCAACGAUGUUUGGGCAUAUCGAGCUGUAGGGAUUCCAAUUUCUCGAAUCUUCACGAUUAAUCAUCGAGGUGAACUGAAGCACGAGCUCACACAGACAUUCCAGUCCUCCUCCAAGCCCCUGAAAUUUCCACGAUCAAGUGCAUCACCUUGUCCCUUUUACAUUCGACAAAGCACAGUAGUUGAUGAAACUUUCCCACCUAUUGAAAAGGCAAUGGUCCCUCAAAAUAUUGAUUUGGUAUACAGUGAUAGUGACUAUGAAUAUAACGGCAGCAGUGACGAUGUUUCCACUGAUAGUGUGGACAGUGACUGGUAGGGUCAUCCACCAGAUUAGUCACUGCCACUUGACUCAUUCAAAGAGAAAAUUAGAGAAUGUGAAAAUUAUUUGAAUGUCAUGUAUAUACCUCAGAGUGUGCAGUAUACUUGAUGAAGCUUUUAUAUGGUUACAAUUGGGACCUAAUGGUGAUGGGAGAUGAAUUCCAGAAUCCGACCUUGCUUGAGGUUAAUGAAGUCCAAGUUAUGGGUCUGCAUCUGUGUAGACUUUGAUCAAUAGGAUACUCCAACCUAAGUGACAUUUCCAACCACAUGUUCCCCCCAGUGGCUCACCAGGAGACUCUGGGAGAGUACUCCUCUCUCCAGUAUUGGCGGCCCCGUAUGCCAGAUGUAUCUGAUGAAAUAGAAGCUGUCCUUGCCCAAGAAAGAGGAAAAUAACUUCCUUCAAGCUGUAGCUGAAUAUUUUUAAAUAAUUGUUG
Molecule: unclassified non-coding RNA, 3865 nt
Filed under: Homarus americanus (American lobster)
Lineage: Eukaryota; Metazoa; Arthropoda; Malacostraca; Decapoda; Nephropidae
Description: phosphatidate phosphatase LPIN3-like, transcript variant X2
Source: RNAcentral